UGGGGAAUAUUGCACAAUGGGCGCAAGCCUGAUGCAGCCAUGCCGCGUGUGUGAAGAAGGCCUUCGGGUUGUAAAGCACUUUCAGCGAGGAGGAAGGUGGUGGACUUAAUACGUUCAUCAAUUGACGUUACUCGCAGAAGAAGCACCGGCUAACUCCGUGCCAGCAGCCGCGGUAAUACGGAGGGUGCAAGCGUUAAUCGGAAUUACUGGGCGUAAAGCGCACGCAGGCGGUUUGUUAAGUCAGAUGUGAAAUCCCCGGGCUCAACCUGGGAACUGCAUUUGAAACUGGCAAGCUAGAGUCUCGUAGAGGGGGGUAGAAUUCCAGGUGUAGCGGUGAAAUGCGUAGAGAUCUGGAGGAAUACCGAUGGCGAAGGCGGCCCCCUGGACGAAGACUGACGCUCAGGUGCGAAAGCGUGGGGAGCAAACAGGAUUAGNUACCCUGGUAGUCCACGCUGUAAA
This 459-nucleotide ribosomal RNA is filed under the name uncultured bacterium. Its description in RNAcentral is "partial 16S ribosomal RNA". It matches the Rfam family "Bacterial small subunit ribosomal RNA", at positions 355 to 806 of the family's 1533-position model. The record is from RNAcentral.